RNAcentral lists this ribosomal RNA (371 nucleotides) under uncultured Methanosaeta sp. Its description in RNAcentral is "bacterial SSU rRNA". It matches the Rfam family "Archaeal small subunit ribosomal RNA", at positions 970 to 1338 of the family's 1478-position model. Lineage: Archaea; Methanobacteriati; Methanobacteriota; Methanomicrobia; Methanotrichales; Methanotrichaceae. The record is from RNAcentral.
GCCGGAGUUAGCUGAGAGGUGGUGCAUGGCCGUCGUCAGUUCGUACUGUGAAGCAUCCUGUUAAGUCAGGCAACGAGCGAGACCCACGCCCACAGUUGCCAGCGUACUCUCUGGAGUGACGGGUACACUGUGGGGACCGCCGCUGCUAAAGCGGAGGAAGGAAUGGGCAACGGUAGGUCAGUAUGCCCCCGAAUAUCCCGGGCUACACGCGAGCUACAAUGGUUGGUACAAUGGGUAUCUACCCCGAAAGGGGACGGGAAUCUCCUAAAACCAAUCUUAGUUCGGAUUGAGGGCUGCAACUCGCCCUCAUGAAGCUGGAAUCCGUAGUAAUCGCGUUUCAACAGAACGCGGUGAAUACGUCCCUGCUCCUU